UUACUCCUACGGGAGGCAGCAGUGGGGAAUAUUGGACAAUGGGCGAAAGCCUGAUCCAGCCAUGCCGCGUGUGUGAAGAAGGUCUUCGGAUUGUAAAGCACUUUAAGUUGGGAGGAAGGGCAGUUACCUAAUACGUGAUUGUUUUGACGUUACCGACAGAAUAAGCACCGGCUAACUCUGUGCCAGCAGCCGCGGUAAUA
This 200-nucleotide ribosomal RNA is filed under the name bacterium ljhv3. RNAcentral describes it as "partial 16S ribosomal RNA". It matches the Rfam family "Bacterial small subunit ribosomal RNA", at positions 333 to 525 of the family's 1533-position model. The record is from RNAcentral.